GAAAUGCAUUUCCGCCUUUGUACCGGCCAGUAAUUUCAGGGAUUCCUUUCUGGCUUAUUCUUCUGUGUCUACAGCCGUCUGAAAUGUUAAUCCUAAAUUCAGGCCUGAGCGCUAGGUAUAUCAUAAAUAUUUACACGAUAUUACUAUCACUGUAAUUUCCCCUGACUAAGAAGACAGUGAUGUCUGUGUGGAUGUCACUGGCUCAUGCUUUUGGCAGUAAACUUUCCUUAUCACCGAU
Long non-coding RNA from Chinchilla lanigera (long-tailed chinchilla), 238 nucleotides. RefSeq lists it as uncharacterized. NCBI's taxonomy places the organism in Eukaryota, Metazoa, Chordata, Mammalia, Rodentia, Chinchillidae. The transcript has 2 exons. The record is from RefSeq and is a predicted model, not a curated record.